RNAcentral lists this ribosomal RNA (509 nucleotides) under uncultured bacterium. RNAcentral describes it as "bacterial SSU rRNA". It matches the Rfam family "Bacterial small subunit ribosomal RNA", at positions 28 to 498 of the family's 1533-position model. The record is from RNAcentral.
GAUGAACGCUAGCGGCAGGCUUAAAUACAUGCAAGUUGAGGGGCAGCAUGAUAUACGCGAGUAUAUUGAUGGCGACCGGCGGACGGGUGAGUAAUAGGUAGGAGACCUACCUCAUACAGGGGGAUAGCAUAGAGAAAUCUGUGGUAAUACCCCAUGAGGUUAUAUGAAUAGAGGCAUAUAAUCAAAGCAUAAGCGAUUAUGCGGUAUGAGAGGGGCCUACUGACCAUUAGCUAGUUGGUGAGGUAAGGGCUCACCAAGGCGAAGAUGGUUAGGGGUUUUGAGAGAGAGACCCCCCACAUUGGAACUGAGAGACGGUCCAGACUCCUACGGGAGGCAGCAGUAGGGAAUAUUGGGCAAUGGGCGAAAGCCUGAUCCAGCCAUGCCGCGUGCAGGAAGAAGGCCUUCGGUUGUUAACGUAGUCUUUAGUUCUAGGUAAAAGGGGUAGGACGGAGGUUAAGUACCCUACCGUCGUCUUGUAUGGUACUGGUAAGAAGUAAGACGACCGGACC